This 598-nucleotide ribosomal RNA is filed under the name uncultured Exserohilum. RNAcentral's name for it is "eukaryotic LSU rRNA". The stretch from base 216 to 369 matches the Rfam family "5.8S ribosomal RNA". The record is from RNAcentral. Lineage: Eukaryota; Fungi; Ascomycota; Dothideomycetes; Pleosporales; Pleosporaceae.
AAAACUGGCGAUAGAACGUGACUGCGGAGGGACAUUACACAACAAAAAUAUGAGGGUGUGGUUUGCUGGCAACAGCGUCCGCCCCAAGUAUUUUUCACCCAUGUCUUUUGCGCACUUUUUGUUUCCUGGGCGAGUUCGCUCGCCACCAGGACCCAACCAUAAACCUUUUUUUAUGCAGUUGCAAUCAGCGUCAGUAUAAUAAUUCAAUUUAUUAAAACUUUCAACAACGGAUCUCUUGGUUCUGGCAUCGAUGAAGAACGCAGCGAAAUGCGAUACGUAGUGUGAAUUGCAGAAUUCAGUGAAUCAUCGAAUCUUUGAACGCACAUUGCGCCCUUUGGUAUUCCAAAGGGCAUGCCUGUUCGAGCGUCAUUUGUACCCUCAAGCUUUGCUUGGUGUUGGGCGUCUUUUUGUCUCUCCCCUUGUUGGGGGAGACUCGCCUUAAAACGAUUGGCAGCCGACCUACUGGUUUUCGGAGCGCAGCACAAAUUUGCGCCUUCCAAUCCACGGGGCGGCAUCCAGCAAGCCUUUGUUUUCUAUAACAAAUCCACAUUUUGACCUCGGAUCAGGUAGGGAUACCCGCUGAACUUAAGCAUAUCAA